AGCACUAAGUCACUUUGUCUUUAUGGCAAAUGUGAGAUGCAGUGUAAGGAGUGUCAAAUUUCUAGUAUGAGAAAUUAACGAUUUAAGUCCUUCUUAAAUGAGGCCACUUACCCAUAGAGGGUGCCAGGCCCGUAUAACGUUAAUGAUUACUAGAUGGCAUUUCCAAAGAGUCGUGUUGCUUGAUAGUGCAGCACUAAGUGGGUGGUAAACUCCAUCUAAAACUAAAUAUAACCAUGAGACCGAUAGUAAACAAGUACCGUGAGGGAAAGUUGAAAAGAACUCUGAAUAGAGAGUUAAAUAGUACGUGAAACUGCUUAGAGGUUAAGCCCGAUGAACCUGAAUAUCCAUUAUGGAAAAUUCAUCAUUAUGAUUUUAAUAUUUAUAAUAUUAUAAUAAUGUUGUGCAUUUUUUCUAUAAAGGACAUUGUAAUCUAUUAAUAUUAAAAAUUUAUCAUAAGAUCGAUUGCAAAAGUUUAUUCAAAUUAUUUUGCUUGCAAUUUAACAGAGAAUAAAUGCUAUCGAUUUGAUAAAGUGUUGAUAGAUUUAUUAUAUAUAGUGCUUAAAUAUAUUAUAUUUUAUAGUAGCAUAUUAAUCAUUGAUUUUUAUGUUUAUUAUAUGCACUUAUAUGAUUAACAAUGCGAAAGAUUCAGGAUACCUUCGGGACCCGUCUUGAAACACGGACCAAGGAGUCUAACAUAUUUGCAAGUUAUUGGGAAUAAAAACCUAAUAGCGAAAUUAACAUAACUUAUAUUUAAAUGGGAUUAGUUUUUAGCCUAUUUUAUAGUCUAUUAAUUCAAUCCCGGGGCGUUUUAUACAGUUAUGUAUAAUAGUAUUUAUACUAUUUAUACCUCUAACUAGAGCGUACCUUGAGCAUAUAUGCUGUGACCCGAAAGAUGGUGAACUAUACUUGAUCAGGUUGAAGUCAG
This 925-nucleotide ribosomal RNA is filed under the name Eutrichota frigida. RNAcentral describes it as "eukaryotic LSU rRNA". It matches the Rfam family "Eukaryotic large subunit ribosomal RNA", at positions 111 to 855 of the family's 3401-position model. Lineage: Eukaryota; Metazoa; Arthropoda; Insecta; Diptera; Anthomyiidae. The record is from RNAcentral.